AGAGUUUGAUCAUGGCUCAGGACGAACGCUGGCGGCGUGCUUAACACAUGCAAGUCGAGCGAGGAGCUUGCUCCUAGCGGCGAACGGGUGAGUAACACGUGGGCAACCUGCCCCGAGCUCUGGGAUAACUCCGGGAAACCGGAGCUAAUACCGGAUAUGACUUCGAUAGGCAUCUUUCGAAGUGCAAAGAUUUAUCGGCUCGGGAUGGGCCCGCGGCCUAUCAGCUUGUUGGUGGGGUAACGGCCUACCAAGGCGACGACGGGUAGCCGGCCUGAGAGGGCGACCGGCCACACUGGGACUGAGACACGGCCCAGACUCCUACGGGAGGCAGCAGUGGGGAAUAUUGCGCAAUGGGCGAAAGCCUGACGCAGCGACGCCGCGUGAGGGAUGAAGGCCUUCGGGUUGUAAACCUCUUUCAGCAGGGACGAAGCGAAAGUGACGGUACCUGCAGAAGAAGCACCGGCCAACUACGUGCCAGCCGCCGCGGUAAUAC
RNAcentral lists this ribosomal RNA (493 nucleotides) under uncultured bacterium. RNAcentral's name for it is "bacterial SSU rRNA". It matches the Rfam family "Bacterial small subunit ribosomal RNA", at positions 8 to 526 of the family's 1533-position model. The record is from RNAcentral.